CAGCUUGCUGGGUGGAUUAGUGGCGAACGGGUGAGUAACACGUGAGUAACCUGCCCUUGACUCUGGGAUAAGCCUGGGAAACUGGGUCUAAUACCGGAUAGGAACGUCCACCGCAUGGUGGGUGUUGGAAAGAUUUAUCGGUCAUGGAUGGACUCGCGGCCUAUCAGCUUGUUGGUGAGGUAAUGGCUCACCAAGGCGACGACGGGUAGCCGGCCUGAGAGGGUGACCGGCCACACUGGGACUGAGACACGGCCCAGACUCCUACGGGAGGCAGCAGUGGGGAAUAUUGCACAAUGGGCGAAAGCCUGAUGCAGCGACGCCGCGUGAGGGAUGACGGCCUUCGGGUUGUAAACCUCUUUCAGUAGGGAAGAAGCGAAAGUGACGGUACCUGCAGAAGAAGCACCGGCUAACUACGUGCCAGCAGCCGCGGUAAUACGUAGGGUGCGAGCGUUAUCCGGAAUUAUUGGGCGUAAAGAGCUCGUAGGCGGUUUGUCGCGUCUGUCGUGAAAGUCCGGGGCUUAACCCCGGAUCUGCGGUGGGUACGGGCAGACUAGAGUGCAGUAGGGGAGACUGGAAUUCCUGGUGUAGCGGUGGAAUGCGCAGAUAUCAGGAGGAACACCGAUGGCGAAGGCAGGUCUCUGGGCUGUAACUGACGCUGAGGAGCGAAAGCAUGGGGAGCGAACAGGAUUAGAUACCCUGG
RNAcentral lists this ribosomal RNA (700 nucleotides) under Micrococcus endophyticus. RNAcentral's name for it is "bacterial SSU rRNA". It matches the Rfam family "Bacterial small subunit ribosomal RNA", at positions 76 to 790 of the family's 1533-position model. Lineage: Bacteria; Bacillati; Actinomycetota; Actinomycetes; Micrococcales; Micrococcaceae. The record is from RNAcentral.